GUUAGAAUUAACUAACCGAUAUUGAUAUAUUGUCAUGAAUUAAAGUGUUGGGUCUUUUUUCAUCAAAUUUCCUUAGAUUUUGCUUGCUGUCCUUUUGCUAUUCUAGCAUCCUAUCCAAGAUACUGCAUUACAUUAUUUAUUAUGCCUCUCCAGGCUCCUCUCUGCUGAUAUUGUUUCAGAAAAACCCGGGCCUAGUGCAUGCAAACUGGCCAUGAGAAGAUAGAAGUUCCUGGGAGAACAAAGCAAGAAGUGAAUUCAUUCAAGAUUGCACAAAAUGCCAUGAGGGACUAAUGGACAGAAAUGUGAUCUUUCAUGGCAGUGAUGCCAUUUCUCCUCUCCCAAGUGUCAUCCUACUUCCUCGGGCAACAUGGUGACUUCGACACCAAAAUAAGGGUUAAGAAACCAACCAACAGAUUGUUUGCAAUCCCACCAACUGAACCUACAUAUUUGAGUUUCCUACCUACCCAAAUGAGUAUUGGACUCAUGAGAACUGUGUUGAAAUUCCUUUUAUAGAGAUCUUGUUCCCAUACAUAUAAUUUUAAAGUGAGUUCACAGUAAAAUUGCUCCAUUUACUUCUAGAGUUUCAUUGCUGCAACGUCCACGUCCACUUGUCUUCCACCAUCUGCCCCAUCACUUUCCAAUAUAAAUGUGUGCCUGUUUUCCUAAUUACCAGCAACAGAGUGACUUGUGAAUUAGGAACACGAUACCUAAACUAGUCCUGUUGUUCAAAUGACAAUAAAGUUUCAGCCUGGUGUAAAUGGCGGCACGGCAAAUAUUUACAAACUUGAUUCUUCUACCUAUUGUAAUUCUCAAUAAUGAAACUGUUUUCCACACAAACAUGUUUAAAAGUCUAAAUGAGGAUAUAGGGAUAAGUGGGAAAAGUGCCUGUUUAUCUGCUGUAUAAUUCCCUUUUUUUUUUUUUUCUCUCUCUAAAAGGUAGGUCCGCUUGGAUUCAGAGAUACAACGAGGAAAUCAGGCUAGACUGAACAGUGAGCCAAGUCAUGGUACUGGAUUAUGUUGGGCAAAGGGCAAAGGGCAGCCCAAUUAAAUAACACAGUUUGUUAUGGAUCCCAGUGGUAAUAUGUGGCUCACUGAUGCCCACUCACCUUCGAGCGUCUGUCCUUGUUAAACUUGCCACUGCACUUUCAGCAAGUAGCGCUUUUGGACACAACUGUGAAGUGUGAGACUUAAGAAUAAAAGUGAUUUUUGUGCCUGAUUGACUCUUAGGGCAAAUGGAAAAUAAAUAAUUCUUAAGAACUCUAAUAGGAUUUACCGGUGGUUUUAGAUGUGCUAAAAGAUAAAGUAAUACGACAAGUAGCCACCAUGAGAGUUAAAGUGGGCUAACUAUGGUUAUGUAAUACAAAUGGGCUUGUGGAGUUGAAAGAUUUAUUUCUAAUUGAACAACAUUGGGCUUAUAUUCAUAAUGUUUAUUUAAUUUUACAUUUAAACUACUAAUGAAAUACUCUAAAUCUAAGAUGCUAAAAUUGUGUCAAAUUAGUACAAAUUCUGCUCGGCAUGGAAGAAAAUACUAUAAUUACUGAACAGUAGAAAUAUGACUGUUUGUAGUCCUUAGGCAUUACUACAAUUAAGACAUGACGUUUGUUAAGCUUUAAGAAUUAUUUGUUAGUAAUUCUUUUAAAAGAUUUAAAAAAUCCUUUUAAGGUUCAAGUUUGCCACAAAUCUUUUUUAUAUCGCUCAUAGUUCAAUAGAUUUGGUAUUGAAAAAGCUCUUUGAGGUCACUAUGUCCUGGUUCAUGACUCAGGAUCCAAGACUAAAUAUGAGUGAAUUCAAUUUUGACUUUGAUUUUAU
This 1809-nucleotide long non-coding RNA is filed under the name Fukomys damarensis (Damara mole-rat). RNAcentral describes it as "lncRNA (ENSFDAG00000022897.1)". The record is from RNAcentral. Lineage: Eukaryota; Metazoa; Chordata; Mammalia; Rodentia; Bathyergidae.